GACUGAGUGAAGUGCUUUUCUGUUUGUUUAGAAAAAAAUUGUCCGCUGUCACCUUGUUGAACGUAAUACCAAAGAGACAACGGGUGCUUUUCAGGGUUCGAUUCGUUAAUAAACCAGGAAACAGCGUACAAAGAACUAUUUUUUUCAGCGCAUUAACUUUUAAUUGUUAGAGGAGGAAGUUAGGGGAUAGCGUAACAAAAUGGCACCAUUAAGAAUCCGCCAGAACCAGACAGGGUUCAUACCAAUUGUUUAUUGGAAAAGGGCUUUUCUGUUUACUUUUCCGUAUGUUUAAACUAAUAUUAAUAACUAAACGAAUAUAAGUUCUGUCUCGGGCACAUUUUUGCUUCAUGUUAGUAGUGCUGUUUGGUUCCACGAUACUCGAUAUAGUAAUAACACCAGGAUUUUUGCUAAAUAAACCGAUAUGUAACUAUAUUACUUUUUUCUAUAAUAAAAAGGAAAAAGGAAGCAUGCAGGGGGCAAUGCAAUACUCUGAAAUAACAUGUUAGUUUCCAGAGAUCUAAGGAAAAGGCCAGACGUUAAGUUGAUCAAUCGGUUAAAAUCAAUGCCUUAUCCAUUGGAGCCGUCCCAGUCCAUGUGAAUGACUGAACUAAAAAACUCACCUCAUGUAUGAUGUAUGCCCUGGGAUAAAUUGUAUGGGCCCGAUAUAUCUUAAUUUUGUUGGCUAUUUCUUGGACGAACAAAAUUAUCACAAGGAACUCUUUAUCACAUGUUUACCAAGCAAAUUGACAAUGCAGUAAUUGGAAAGUACAUACUCAAACUACAUCAGUUAUCUGUGGGGCAGACUACUAAGCUCGGUGAAACUUUGUCUUUUGUAGAACCACUUAAAAGCAUGUGUCAAAAGUGUAAAUAUUUGAACCCUUGAAAGUGCUAGCUAACCUUUAAUUCAACAAUGUCAGCAUCAUCCAGUCUACAUUCAUUGCAACAUCCUGGAAUGCAAACAUUUAUGUUCUGUCUGAUUUUCUUAAUAGAUUGUGAAUAAUUGAAGAGUCUGACAGAAUUUAAGAGACCUACCUCCAGAAUUAAUUUUAGAGUCUUUUUCAAAUGGAGACCUGUUGUUGCAACAGGGAAGUCUUACCACACAUAUCUCUGACACUGAGCCUCCACGAGACCUCGACAUCAAAAAUCCAGUUCCCUCUGUCUCUCGCUCAUCCAUGUGUUGAACAUGGAUAGCCAUGGCAUGUAUGAUAUAUGUGAAAAGAGUUCAUUGUUGUUCCUCAAAACUAAAUCUAGAUAAUUAAAACAAAUGUGUCAUCCUCAUCCCAGAAUCAUUUUUUUCUUUGGUACAAAGGAGCAAGUUAUACCAUAAAA
Molecule: long non-coding RNA, 1329 nt
Organism: Cynoglossus semilaevis (tongue sole)
Lineage: Eukaryota; Metazoa; Chordata; Actinopteri; Pleuronectiformes; Cynoglossidae
Exons: 2
Source: RefSeq, a predicted model, not a curated record